Molecule: ribosomal RNA, 497 nt
Filed under: uncultured bacterium
Lineage: Bacteria
Description: partial 16S ribosomal RNA
Rfam family: Bacterial small subunit ribosomal RNA
Source: RNAcentral
GAGGAAAGAGGGAGGGGGGAGGAAUACAUGCAAGUCGAGCGAACAGACGAGGAGCUUGCUCCUCUGACGUUAGCGGCGGACGGGUGAGUAACACGUGGAUAACCUACCUAUAAGACUGGGAUAACUUCGGGAAACCGGAGCUAAUACCGGAUAAUAUAUUGAACCGCAUGGUUCAAUAGUGAAAGACGGUUUUGCUGUCACUUAUAGAUGGAUCCGCGCCGCAUUAGCUAGUUGGUAAGGUAACGGCUUACCAAGGCGACGAUGCGUAGCCGACCUGAGAGGGUGAUCGGCCACACUGGAACUGAGACACGGUCCAGACUCCUACGGGAGGCAGCAGUAGGGAAUCUUCCGCAAUGGGCGAAAGCCUGACGGAGCAACGCCGCGUGAGUGAUGAAGGUCUUCGGAUCGUAAAACUCUGUUAUUAGGGAAGAACAAAUGUGUAAGUAACUAUGCACGUCUUGACGGUACCUAAUCAGAAAGCCACGGCUAACUACGUG